Long non-coding RNA from Wyeomyia smithii (pitcher-plant mosquito), 1040 nucleotides. RefSeq lists it as uncharacterized. The transcript has 3 exons. Lineage: Eukaryota; Metazoa; Arthropoda; Insecta; Diptera; Culicidae. The record is from RefSeq and is a predicted model, not a curated record.
GGUAAAAACAUUCUUACAAAUCAAUCAAUAUUUUUUACUUUUGUCUCUUCAACAAGCAGAGAAACAAACUUUCGGGUUUCCGUAAGAAAUUGAAUAUUCGUACAACGCUUGGCAUCGAUUCCAGCGGUCAGCACGGAAAUUCAAUUAAAAAUUUCACCCUGCACUUAGUUUUGCUUGACUGUCGGACGACGUCGCUAGAGACCCUCGGACGGGGGUGCUGCUAUUAAUGGUCGCAUCGGAUAUCAGCUUCAUCUUCAUCAGAGAAUUAGCCUGGAACGAAUAAACUGAGCAGCUUCGAGAGAGUGUGUGUGCGUGCGGUCGUCGUCGGUUCGCGCAUUGGGACUCCACAGCAAACAUCAAUCAAAUCGAUGCGGCGGCUGGCUGGAACUCACGGUGUGGUGCAUACAACCCGGCACUGUGACGAUACGAGGACAGUUACAGUGACAACAAUGGUGCAAUCAAUUAGAAUGUAUACACCGCGCCUGGUGUCACCAGCCUCCAGCAGCUCUUCUCCCCCAUGGUGUGUCAUCGAUUGCCGUCAAAAUGGCUAAUGCAGAUGCAUCUAAACCUCCCCCACACCCCCAUUCUCGCGGAUGGCGGUUUGCAAUCAAUCACAGCCACGGGGAAGACUUGGGAACUGGCGACUGAUGUGUUUUGCACUCAUACAACUUCGGGAGAAGGGAAUGAAUGUCGGAGCAUGAUCAUAAAUCCCAUUAACAUGAUUUUUUUAUUCUAUAUUUUUCCGACGUUUCACCAUAUUUUGAUGAACUUCUUCAAAUAAAAAAAUAUAACAAAAUCAUAAUGAAUCGUCGCUUUAAGAGUUGUAGUGUGUUUAGCGAACUUGUUUCAUUAAUUAUUCUCUAUUUUAUAGAAAUAGCAAUUUUGUCAUUCAUUCACCCGCAAGUGGCAAACGACUUUUACAUUUCUCAUUUUUGCAUAUAAAAAUCCAAUUUGUUUUAUUUAAUUUAUGAGAAACAAUGCUGUAGACACCAUAUUUCUUUUGCCUAUUUAUUGUAAAGUUUUUUUUUUAUAGAAUACCU